Molecule: non-coding RNA, 95 nt
Organism: Weissella cibaria
Lineage: Bacteria; Bacillati; Bacillota; Bacilli; Lactobacillales; Lactobacillaceae
Source: Rfam
UGCGAUGAGUCGAGAAGAUCAUGUUCUGAUCUUUGUAAACGGUCCUCAUAUAACAGCCGCAUUGCUGGAGGAUGAGAUAGUGAGUUGUGGAACUC